Molecule: ribosomal RNA, 494 nt
Filed under: uncultured bacterium
Lineage: Bacteria
Description: partial 16S ribosomal RNA
Rfam family: Bacterial small subunit ribosomal RNA
Source: RNAcentral
GAACGCUGGCGGCGUGCCUAAUACAUGCAAGUUGAGCGCUGAAGGUUGGUACUUGUACCACCUGGAUGAGCAGCGAACGGGUGAGUAACGCGUGGGGAAUCUGCCUUUGAGCGGGGGACAACAUUUGGAAACGAAUGCUAAUACCGCAUAAAAACUUUAAACACAAGUUUUAAGUUUGAAAGAUGCAAUUGCAUCACUCAAAGAUGAUCCCGCGUUGUAUUAGCUAGUUGGUGAGGUAAAGGCUCACCAAGGCGAUGAUACAUAGCCGACCUGAGAGGGUGAUCGGCCACAUUGGGACUGAGACACGGCCCAAACUCCUACGGGAGGCAGCAGUAGGGAAUCUUCGGCAAUGGACGAAAGUCUGACCGAGCAACGCCGCGUGAGUGAAGAAGGGUGUCGGAUCGUAAAACUCUGUUGGUAGAGAAGAACGUUGGUGAGAGUGGAAAGCUCAUCAAGUGACGGUAACUACCCAGAAAGGGACGGCUAACUACGUG